RNAcentral lists this long non-coding RNA (457 nucleotides) under Salmo salar (Atlantic salmon). Its description in RNAcentral is "lncRNA (ENSSSAG00000095230.1)". Lineage: Eukaryota; Metazoa; Chordata; Actinopteri; Salmoniformes; Salmonidae. The record is from RNAcentral.
ACAGGGUCAAUGUGGAGGCUAUGUACAGGGUAUUACGGUACAGAGUCAAUGUGGAGGCUAUAUACAGGGGGUACCGGUACAGAGUCAAUGUGGAGGCUAUAUACAGGGUGUUACGGUACAGAGUCAAUGUGGAGGCUAUAUACAGGGGGUACCGGUACAGAGUCAAUGUGGAGGCUAUAUACAGGGGGUACCGGUACAGAGUCAAUGUGGAGGCUAUAUACAGGGGGUACCGGUACAGAGUCAAUGUGGAGGCUAUGUACAGGGGGGUACCGGUACAGAGUCAAUGUGGAGGCACCGGUACAGAGUCAAGUCUGAGUAGCCAUUUGAUUCAUUGUUCAGCAGUCUUAUGGCUUGGGGGUAGAAGCUGUUUAGAAGCAUCUUGGUCCUAGACUUGGCUCUCCGGUACCGCUUGCCGUGUGGUAGCAGAGAGUACAGUCUGUGACUAGGGGUGGCUGGA